GCCCGCCUAGCUCAAUCGGAUAGAGCGUCAGACUCUUACGAGUUAUCGGGCAUUGAUCUGUCACGUGAAUCGAGGGCGAUCUGAAGGCUGCGAGUUCGACCCUCGCGGUGGGCU
Molecule: non-coding RNA, 114 nt
Organism: Lentinus tigrinus ALCF2SS1-7
Lineage: Eukaryota; Fungi; Basidiomycota; Agaricomycetes; Polyporales; Polyporaceae
Source: the annotation of a GenBank genome assembly